UGGACCCUGCUGUGUCCGUGAUGCUGCAGGAGGUUUUGAGCCAACACUUUGAAUAGGGGGUCUUGACUUCGUUGGGGGCCGCGAUAGGCUACGGCCAAGGCGAAACCCAAGAGCGGGGCCCCACCUGCGAAUGCAGGUUCAAAACAAUGUAGCACACGGCAUAGCGGGGUGUUC
RNAcentral lists this non-coding RNA (174 nucleotides) under Anaerolineaceae bacterium. RNAcentral describes it as "6S RNA". It matches the Rfam family "6S / SsrS RNA". Rfam says of the family: E. coli 6S RNA was the first non coding RNA to be sequenced, but its function was unknown until recently. It consists of 184 nucleotides that fold into an extended hairpin structure with a large single-stranded internal bulge. The 6S RNA specifically associates with RNA polymerase holoenzyme containing the sigma70 specificity factor. Lineage: Bacteria; Bacillati; Chloroflexota; Anaerolineae; Anaerolineales; Anaerolineaceae. The record is from RNAcentral. RNAcentral also lists the same sequence under 1 other name.